GCCAGAGUGGUGUAGUGGUUUGAGCAUAGGACUAUGACUCUGGAGAUCAGGGUUCGAUUCCCGCUCAACCA
RNAcentral lists this transfer RNA (71 nucleotides) under Phrynosoma platyrhinos (Desert horned lizard). Its description in RNAcentral is "tRNA-OTHER". The record is from RNAcentral. Lineage: Eukaryota; Metazoa; Chordata; Lepidosauria; Squamata; Phrynosomatidae.